GUGGGGAAUAUUGCACAAUGGGCGCAAGCCUGAUGCAGCGACGCCGCGUGAGGGAUGACGGCCUUCGGGUUGUAAACCUCUUUCACCCAUGACGAAGCGGGAGUGACGGUAGUGGGAGAAGAAGCGCCGGCCAACUACGUGCCAGCAGCCGCGGUAAGACGUAGGGCGCGAGCGUUGUCCGGAUUUAUUGGGCGUAAAGAGCUCGUAGGCGGCUUGUCGCGUCGACUGUGAAAACCCGCGGCUCAACUGCGGGCCUGCAGCCGAUACGGGCAGGCUAGAGUUCGGUAGGGGAGACUGGAAUUCCUGGUGUAGCGGUGAAAUGCGCAGAUAUCAGGAGGAACACCGGUGGCGAAGGCGGGUCUCUGGGCCGAUACUGACGCUGAGGAGCGAAAGCGUGGGGAGCGAACAGGAUUAGAAACCCCAGUAGUCC
Molecule: ribosomal RNA, 430 nt
Filed under: uncultured bacterium
Lineage: Bacteria
Description: bacterial SSU rRNA
Rfam family: Bacterial small subunit ribosomal RNA
Source: RNAcentral